GAGGGCUGCUGGAGGUAUCCGAAGUGCGAAUGCUGACAUGAGUAGCGAUAAAACGGGUGAAAAGCCCGUUCGCCGAAAGCCCAAGGUUUCCGACGCAACGUUCAUCGGCGUCGGGUCAGUCGGCCCCUAAGGCGAGGCCGAAAGGCGUAGUCGAUGGGAAACGGGUCAACAUUCCCGUACCGUCGUGCAAUGCGAUGGGGGGACGAAGAAGGCUAAGUGGGUCGGGUGUUGGACGUCCCGAUUCAAGCCCGUAGCCUGGCGCGGUAGGCAAAUCCGCCGCGCUAGAGGUGAGAGGUGAUGACGAGGGCAGCCCACGGGCCGCCCAAGCCACCGAGGCCCCGCUUCCAGGAAAAGCCCCUAAGCUUCAGUUGCACGAUGACCGUACCGCAAACCGACACAGGUGGGCUGGUGUCAAAGCACCAAGGCGCUUGAGAGAACCCAGGAGAAGGAACUCGGCAAAUUGACACCGUAACUUCGGGAGAAGGUGUGCCCCAAGUAGGUGAGUCUGCACGCCAGACGAGCCCAACGGGGUCGCAGAGAAUCGGGGGCUGCGACUGUUUAUUAAAAACACAGCACUCUGCCAAGACGAAAGUCGACGUAUAGGGUGUGACGCCUGCCCGGUGCCGGAAGGUUAAGUGAUGGGGUGCAAGCUCCUGAUCGAAGCCCCGGUAAACGGCGGCCGUAACUAUAACGGUCCUAAGGUAGCGAAAUUCCUUGUCGGGUAAGUUCCGACCUGCACGAAUGGCGUAACGAUGGCCCCACUGUCUCCUCCUGGGACUCAGCGAAAUUGAAAUGGUUGUGAAGAUGCAAUCUCCCCGCGGCUAGACGGAAAGACCCCAUGAACCUUUACUGCAGCUUUGCAUUGGACUUUGAUGUGGCCUGUGUAGGAUAGGUGGGAGGCUGAGAAGCCGAGGCGCCAGCUUCGGUGGAGCCGCCCUUGAAAUACCACCCUGGUCACCUCGAGGUUCUAACCGCGCACCGUACAUCCGGUGCCGGGACCGUGCAUGGCAGGCAGUUUGACUGGGGCGGUCUCCUCCCAAAAGGUAACGGAGGAGCACGAAGGUACGCUUGGCACGGUCGGAAAUCGUGCUGUAUGUGCAAGGGCAUAAGCGUGCUUGACUGUGAGGCCCACAAGCCGAACAGGUGCGAAAGCAGGUCCUAGUGAUCCGGUGGUUCUGUAUGGAAGGGCCAUCGCUCAACGGAUAAAAGGUACUCUGGGGAUAACAGGCUGAUACCGCCCAAGAGUUCACAUCGACGGCGGUGUUUGGCACCUCGAUGUCGGCUCAUCUCAUCCUGGGGCUGUAGUCGGUCCCAAGGGUAUGGCUGUUCGCCAUUUAAAGAGGUACGUGAGCUGGGUUUAAAACGUCGUGAGACAGUUUGGUCCCUAUCUGCCGUGGGCGCUGGAAGUUUGAGGGGAUCUGCUCCUAGUACGAGAGGACCGGAGUGGACGCACCUCUGGUGUACCGGUUGU
Molecule: non-coding RNA, 1471 nt
Filed under: Tepidiphilus thermophilus
Lineage: Bacteria; Pseudomonadati; Pseudomonadota; Hydrogenophilia; Hydrogenophilales; Hydrogenophilaceae
Description: Petrobacter sp. JHK30 Bacterial large subunit ribosomal RNA
Rfam family: Bacterial large subunit ribosomal RNA
Source: Rfam by way of RNAcentral